CCUACGGGAGGCUGCAGUGAGGAAUAUUGGUCAAUGGGCGCGAGCCUGAACCAGCCAAGUCGCGUGAGGGAAGACGGUCCUAUGGAUUGUAAACCUCUUUUGUCGGGGAGCAAAAGACGCCACGCGUGGCCUUCCGAGAGUACCCGAAGAAAAAGCAUCGGCUAACUCCGUGCCAGCAGCCGCGGUAAUACGGAGGAUGCGAGCGUUAUCCGGAUUUAUUGGGUUUAAAGGGUGCGCAGGCGGAAGCUCAAGUCAGCGGUAAAAUUGAGAGGCUCAACCUCUUCGAGCAGUUGAAACUGGUUGUCUUGAGUGAGUGAGAAGUAUGCGGAAUGCGUGGUGUAGCGGGGAAAUGCAUAGAUAUCACGCAGAACUCCGAUUGCGAAGGCAGCAUACCGGCGCUCAACUGACGCUGAGGCACGAAAGUGUGGGGAGCAAACAGGAUUAGAUACCCUUGUAGUC
RNAcentral lists this ribosomal RNA (459 nucleotides) under uncultured bacterium. RNAcentral describes it as "partial 16S ribosomal RNA". It matches the Rfam family "Bacterial small subunit ribosomal RNA", at positions 338 to 795 of the family's 1533-position model. The record is from RNAcentral.